RNAcentral lists this long non-coding RNA (561 nucleotides) under Salmo salar (Atlantic salmon). RNAcentral describes it as "lncRNA (ENSSSAG00000099314.1)". The record is from RNAcentral. Lineage: Eukaryota; Metazoa; Chordata; Actinopteri; Salmoniformes; Salmonidae.
CUUACUCUUUCUGCACAGUCACUGUGAUACUUCCUGGGAAAGGCUGCUAGCCAAAUGAAAGAGUGAUGAUAUCGGAUUGCUUUGGCCGGGUGCAGCACCUCUCCUUCCGUCUACUUCCCACUCCUGCCCUCCCGAAACCCCCCGUCAGGGACCCUCUCCAAAAGGAAGGGACAUGAUGUCAAAUGAAACGAGGCUACUCUGGCAAGAAAACCCCCCCAAAUGUAUAGCCCGUGUAACGCUCGUCGUUCGAAGGAGAAGUGGACCAAAGCGCAGCGUGGAAGCGUAAGAACAUCGGUGGGUUUGUGUUUACCACAGGGUGGAUUACAGAGGAUAUGCACAGUUUCCACCUGCUAAUCAAAACCCCUGGCAGACCAACUGAGAUGCCACCUUCCGAGGUUCACGGAUGAGUAUUGUCUGUCUGUCUGUCUGUCUGUCUGUCUGUCUGUCUGUCUGUCUGUCUGUCUGUCUGUCUGUCUGUCUGUCUGUCUGUCUGUCUGUCUGUCUGUCUGUCUGUCUGUCUGUCUGUCUGUCUGUCUGUCUGUCUGUCUGUCUGUCUUUCUG